This 1485-nucleotide ribosomal RNA is filed under the name uncultured bacterium. Its description in RNAcentral is "bacterial SSU rRNA". It matches the Rfam family "Bacterial small subunit ribosomal RNA". The record is from RNAcentral.
AGAGUUUGAUCAUGGCUCAGGAUGAACGCUAGCGGCAGGCUUAAUACAUGCAAGUCGAGGGGCAGCACGGGUAGCAAUACUUGGUGGCGACCGGCGCACGGGUGCGUAACGCGUAUGCAAUCUACCUUCAACAGGUGAAUAACCCGGAGAAAUUCGGACUAAUAUACCGUAGUUUUAUGAUGAGGCAUCUUAUUAUAAUUAAAGAUUUAUCGGUUGAAGAUGAGCAUGCGUAUGAUUAGCUAGUUGGUAGGGUAACGGCUUACCAAGGCGACGAUCAUUAGGGGUUCUGAGAGGAUGAUCCCCCACACUGGUACUGAGACACGGACCAGACUCCUACGGGAGGCAGCAGUAGGGAAUAUUGGGCAAUGGUCGAGAGACUGACCCAGCCAUGCCGCGUGCAGGAAGACGGCCUUAUGGGUUGUAAACUGCUUUUAUACAGGAGUAAUACUCGAUACGUGUAUCGGGAUGCAAGUACUGUAAGAAUAAGGAUCGGCUAACUCCGUGCCAGCAGCCGCGGUAAUACGGAGGAUCCAAGCGUUAUCCGGAUUUAUUGGGUUUAAAGGGUGCGCAGGCUGAUGUAUAAGUCAGUGGUGAAAGCUUCCAGCUUAACUGGAGAACUGCCAUUGAUACUGUAUGUCUAGAGUUUAGACGGCGUAGGCGGAAUAUGUCAAGUAGCGGUGAAAUGCGUAGAUAUGACAUAGAACACCGAUAGGGUAGCCAGCUUACGAGGCUAAAACUGACGCUCAAGCACGAAAGCGUGGGUAUCAAACAGGAUUAGAUACCCUGGUAGUCCACGCUGUAAACGAUGAUCACUCGUUGUCGGCGAUAUAAUGCCGGUGGCCAAGCGAAAGUGAUAAGUGAUCCACCUGGGGAGUACGUUCGCAAGUAUGAAACUCAAAGGAAUUGACGGGGGCCCGCACAAGCGGAGGAGCAUGUGGUUUAAUUCGAUGAUACGCGAGGAACCUUACCUAGACUUGAACGUAUUUGGAAUAAAGUAGAAAUAUUUUAGCCAGCAAUGGCCAUUUACGAGGUGCUGCAUGGUUGUCGUCAGCUCGUGCCGUGAGGUGUUAGGUUAAGUCCUGCAACGAGCGCAACCCUUACCGUUAGUUACCAUCAGGUUAUGCUGGGGACUCUAGCGGAACUGCCCGCGCAAGCGUGGAGGAAGGUGGGGAUGACGUCAAAUCAGCACGGCCCUUACGUCUAGGGCGACACACGUGCUACAAUGGGCGGUACAGAGGGCAGCUACACAGCGAUGUGAUGCUAAUCUCAAAAGCCGUUCUCAGUUCGGAUUGGAGUCUGCAACCCGACUCCAUGAAGUUGGAUUCGCUAGUAAUCGCGCAUCAGCCAUGGCGCGGUGAAUACGUUCCCGGGCCUUGUACACACCGCCCGUCAAGCCAUGGAAGUUUGGGGCGCCUGAAGUACGUGACCGCAAGGAGCGUCCUAGGGUGAAACAGAUAACUGGGGCUAAGUCGUAACAAGGUAACC